AUGAAGUCGGAAUUGCUAGUAAUCGUGGAUCAGCAUGCCACGGUGAAUACGUUCCCGGGCCUUGUACACACCGCCCGUCACACCAUGGGAGUCGGUAACACCCGAAGCCUGUAGUCUAACCGCAAGGAGGACGCAGUCGAAGGUGGGAUUGAUGACUGGGGUGAAGUCGUAACAAGGUACC
Molecule: ribosomal RNA, 181 nt
Filed under: uncultured bacterium
Lineage: Bacteria
Description: partial 16S ribosomal RNA
Rfam family: Bacterial small subunit ribosomal RNA
Source: RNAcentral